AAGUCGUAACAAGGUUUCCGUAGGUGAACCUGCGGAAGGAUCAUUACCGAAUCAUGUGGGCCGAGCCGCGCAUCAUCUGCCGGCCCGAGUCUGCUUUGCAACCCUUCUUGUAUGGCAGGCCGUUGAACCGUAACGGCCUGCCAUAUGUGUCUCGCUUCUUUUCACCACACAAAACCUGUCAUUGCCUAUACAAGAUAUCUAAUAUAUAACUUUCAACAACGGAUCUCUUGGCUCUC
RNAcentral lists this unclassified non-coding RNA (236 nucleotides) under fungal sp. RNAcentral describes it as "partial internal transcribed spacer region". The stretch from base 1 to 46 matches the Rfam family "Eukaryotic small subunit ribosomal RNA", at positions 1786 to 1831 of the family's 1831-position model. Lineage: Eukaryota; Fungi. RNAcentral also lists the same sequence under 1 other name. The record is from RNAcentral.